UGCCCAGAUAGCUCAGUUGGUAGAGCAAGGGACUGAAAAUCCCUGUGUCACUGGUUCGAUUCCAGUUCUGGGCAU
This 75-nucleotide transfer RNA is filed under the name uncultured Eubacterium sp. RNAcentral's name for it is "tRNA-Phe(gaa)". It matches the Rfam family "tRNA". Rfam says of the family: Transfer RNA (tRNA) molecules are approximately 80 nucleotides in length. Their secondary structure includes four short double-helical elements and three loops (D, anti-codon, and T loops). Lineage: Bacteria; Bacillati; Bacillota; Clostridia; Eubacteriales; Eubacteriaceae. The record is from RNAcentral.